UACGUAGGGUGCGAGCGUAAUCGGAAUUACUGGGCGUAAAGGGUGCGCAGGCGGUUAUAUAAGACAGAUGUGAAAUCCCCGGGCUCAACCUGGGAACUGCGUUUGUGACUGUAUGACUAGAGUACGGUAGAGAGGGGUGGAAUUCCUGGUGUAGCAGUGAAAUGCGUAGAUAUCAGGAGGAACAUCGAUGGCGAAGGCAGCCCCUUGGACCUGGUACUGACGCUCAUGCACGAAAAGCGUGGGGAGCAAACAGG
Molecule: ribosomal RNA, 254 nt
Filed under: uncultured bacterium
Lineage: Bacteria
Description: partial 16S ribosomal RNA
Rfam family: Bacterial small subunit ribosomal RNA
Source: RNAcentral